GUGCCUGUAGCUCAGUUGGAUAGAGCAGCAGCCUUCUAAGCUGCGGGUCGUGGGUUCGAAUCCCUCCAGGCACG
Cinara cedri is the source of this 74-nucleotide non-coding RNA. Lineage: Eukaryota; Metazoa; Arthropoda; Insecta; Hemiptera; Aphididae. The record is from the annotation of a GenBank genome assembly.